RNAcentral lists this ribosomal RNA (207 nucleotides) under uncultured bacterium. Its description in RNAcentral is "partial 16S ribosomal RNA". It matches the Rfam family "Bacterial small subunit ribosomal RNA", at positions 568 to 774 of the family's 1533-position model. The record is from RNAcentral.
CUCGUAGGCGGCCAACUAAGUCAUACGUGAAAUCCCUCAGCUUAACUGGGGAACUGCGUCUGAUACUGGAUGGCUUGGAUUUGGGAGAGGGAUGCGGAAUUCCAGGUGUAGCGGUGAAAUGCGUAGAUAUCUGGAGGAACACCGGUGGCGAAGGCGGCAUCCUGGACCAAUAUUGACGCUGAGGAGCGAAAGCCAGGGGAGCAAACG